GGCAUUGGCCACUGUCAGAAGACAGGAUACAUUGGCUAGAUGGACCACGGGUCUGACCCAGUACGGCUGUUCUUAUGUUCUGUACCUGUGGAGCAGUGUUCAUGACAUAAAAGUACUGUGAAGAUUAAACUUCAAAGGUUCAUGAUGACUGUCUCAUUUUCUCCAAGGGAAUUUAGGCGCGGGGAGCUUUUUCAUAGGGCCUAUUUCUGAUGGAUUUGGAGACUGCAAGCAUGAGGUUCAGGGUGUGCCUGAUGUCUCCUGUACUGUGGAGGAUGUGUUGCAGAGCACAGCUCCUUGCAGGAUCAAACCUGAUAGAGUGGCCCAGGGGAUUAGCACCACUACUCUGCCAAAAAUUGCCAUGGGGCCUCUGCUAAUCAAAAGCAAAGUCUCAGUUUCACGUGGCAUUUGAAAGAGGACAUCUCCAGAAGCACAGUAGCCCCCUAACAUGACAGCGCUGCACUGGGUAAGUA
This is a non-coding RNA of Caretta caretta (loggerhead turtle), 470 nucleotides long. NCBI's taxonomy places the organism in Eukaryota, Metazoa, Chordata, Testudines, Cheloniidae. The record is from RefSeq and is a predicted model, not a curated record.